RNAcentral lists this ribosomal RNA (217 nucleotides) under Clostridium botulinum. Its description in RNAcentral is "partial 16S ribosomal RNA". It matches the Rfam family "Bacterial small subunit ribosomal RNA", at positions 1 to 212 of the family's 1533-position model. The record is from RNAcentral. Lineage: Bacteria; Bacillati; Bacillota; Clostridia; Eubacteriales; Clostridiaceae.
UUUAAAUUUAGAGUUUGAUCCUGGCUCAGGACGAACGCUGGCGGCGUGCUUAACACAUGCAAGUCGAGCGAUGAAGCUUCCUUCGGGAAGUGGAUUAGCGGCGGACGGGUGAGUAACACGUGGGUAACCUACCUCAAAGUGGGGGAUAGCCUUCCGAAAGGAAGAUUAAUACCGCAUAAUAUGAGAGAAUCGCAUGAUUUUUUUAUCAAAGAUUUAU